AUUGAACGCUGGCGGCAGGCCUAACACAUGCAAGUCGAGCGGAUGAAGGGAGCUUGCUCCUGGAUUCAGCGGCGGACGGGUGAGUAAUGCCUAGGAAUCUGCCUGGUAGUGGGGGAUAACGUCCGGAAACGGGCGCUAAUACCGCAUACGUCCUGAGGGAGAAAGUGGGGGAUCUUCGGACCUCACGCUAUCAGAUGAGCCUAGGUCGGAUUAGCUAGUUGGUGGGGUAAAGGCCUACCAAGGCGACGAUCCGUAACUGGUCUGAGAGGAUGAUCAGUCACACUGGAACUGAGACACAGUCCAGACUCCUACGGGAGGCAGCAGUGGGGAAUAUUGGACAAUGGGCGAAAGCCUGAUCCAGCCAUGCCGCGUGUGUGAAGAAGGUCUUCGGAUUGUAAAGCACUUUAAGUUGGGAGGAAGGGCAGUAAGUUAAUACCUUGCUGUUUUGACGUUACCAACAGAAUAAGCACCGGCUAACUUCGUA
RNAcentral lists this ribosomal RNA (484 nucleotides) under uncultured bacterium. RNAcentral describes it as "partial 16S ribosomal RNA". It matches the Rfam family "Bacterial small subunit ribosomal RNA", at positions 30 to 507 of the family's 1533-position model. The record is from RNAcentral.